GUGAGGAAUAUUGCGCAAUGGAGGCAACUCUGACGCAGCCAUGCCGCGUGCAGGAAGAAGGCGCUACGCGUUGUAAACUGCUUUUAACCGGGAAGAAACCCCAGGACGUGUCCUGGGUUGACGGUACCGGAGGAAUAAGCACCGGCUAACUUCGUGCCAGCAGCCGCGGUAAUACGAAGGGUGCAAGCGUUAUCCGGAUUCAUUGGGUUUAAAGGGUGCGUAGGCGGAGCGUUAAGUCAGUGGUGAAAUCCUGCAGCUUAACUGUAGACUUGCCAUUGAUACUGGCGCUCUUGAGUGAGCUUGAAGUGGGCGGAAUGUGCCGUGUAGCGGUGAAAUGCUUAGAUAUGGCACAGAACACCAAUUGCGAAGGCAGCUCACUAAGGCGAUACUGACGCUGAGGCACGAAAGCGUGGGGAUCGAACAGGAUUAGAAACCCCGGUAGUCC
RNAcentral lists this ribosomal RNA (445 nucleotides) under uncultured bacterium. RNAcentral describes it as "partial 16S ribosomal RNA". It matches the Rfam family "Bacterial small subunit ribosomal RNA", at positions 354 to 796 of the family's 1533-position model. The record is from RNAcentral.